ACGAACGCUGGCGGCGUGCUUAACACCUGCAAGUCGAACGGAAAGGCCCUGCUUGCAGGGUACUCGAGUGGCGAACGGGUGAGUAACACGUGGGUGAUCUGCCCUGCACUUCGGGAUAAGCCUGGGAAACUGGGUCUAAUACCGGAUAGGAGCCAUUUUUAGUGUGAUGGUUGGAAAGUUUUUUCGGUGUAGGAUGAGCUCGCGGCCUAUCAGCUUGUUGGUGGGGUAAUGGCCUACCAAGGCGGCGACGGGUAGCCGGCCUGAGAGGGUGGACGGCCACAUUGGGACUGAGAUACGGCCCAGACUCCUACGGGAGGCAGCAGUGGGGAAUAUUGCACAAGGGGCGCAAGCCUGAUGCAGCGACGCCGCGUGGGGGAUGACGGCCUUCGGGUUGUAAACUCCUUUCGCUAGGGACGAAGCUUUUUGUGACGGUACCUAGAUAAGAAGCACCGGCUAACUACGUG
Molecule: ribosomal RNA, 464 nt
Filed under: uncultured bacterium
Lineage: Bacteria
Description: partial 16S ribosomal RNA
Rfam family: Bacterial small subunit ribosomal RNA
Source: RNAcentral